Non-coding RNA from Acanthosepion pharaonis, 114 nucleotides. Lineage: Eukaryota; Metazoa; Mollusca; Cephalopoda; Sepiida; Sepiidae. The record is from the annotation of a GenBank genome assembly.
AUGCGGAUAUAUCACGUUGAAGCACCAGUUCUUAUGUGAUCACUAAAGUUAAGCAAUGCUGAGUGUGGUCAGUACCUAGAUGGGUGACUACUUUGGAAUACUAGGUACUGUAAG